GUGUGUAACUAUACAAAUCCUUGUUGUAACUAAUUCAUAAUUGUAUAUAUUUUAAUUAAUUUUAUUGUAAAUUUAGUGUCUCGUAAUUUUAUGAAGGCUGGCUAUCGAUCUUUGUUUUAACUGUAAGACCAAUGUGCGACACUAUAAUGAAAUAAUCAUUAUAUUCAUCUUUUAUAUUUAAUCUCAAUUACCAGAUUAAAAUUUCACACCUAAUUGAACAUUGCAGAUGUACGCUGACCACUAUGUGUAUAUACCAAGAAACUGCUAGGUGUGAAAAUAAGAUGUGUCAAUUGUAUGAGGACCUGUACGGGGGUCCUUAAUUCUAUAAUUGUUCAGUCUUUUUCUGUGUUCUUUAUAUAUAUAAGCACUUCGUCAUUCUCUAUUCCUUAUCUUUUUCUCUAUGUUUCUGUAGUCAUUAUUUAUUUUCCUUUAUUCGGCACUUUUAACCCAUUAUUCACUAUUCAUCGACCCCAUCCUGACCCUCUUUUUUAAUGAACCGUUAGCAAAUACGUCUCGAAGGUGGCAGCAUACAUCACAGUCCACGACAUUAUAAACUAGUAAGGCACACAUACUGCUGGUGAUCAACCUUUGAUUUAUAAACUAGAAUAAAUAUACUAAAAAA
RNAcentral lists this long non-coding RNA (622 nucleotides) under Mytilus galloprovincialis (Mediterranean mussel). The record is from RNAcentral. Lineage: Eukaryota; Metazoa; Mollusca; Bivalvia; Mytilida; Mytilidae.